Octodon degus (degu) is the source of this 338-nucleotide long non-coding RNA. RefSeq lists it as uncharacterized. The record is from RefSeq and is a predicted model, not a curated record. Lineage: Eukaryota; Metazoa; Chordata; Mammalia; Rodentia; Octodontidae. The transcript is spliced from 3 exons.
GUGAGGCUGGUCACGACUGACCGUGCACAUCACCCGCAUGUAGGGGGAUUAUAGGUGGUCGGCACGGCAAGAGGCUGUGAAGAUCUCAGCAGGCGAGGAGCAAAGGACAGAGGACUGUCUUGCUUAGAACAUGGCACCAAAGGUCAUGCCAACUACGGGUCUUUUUCUGGGUAGUCUACUCCACUGGAAACCUGCCCAGUCCUGCUGAAGAAGCUGGGUUUUGUUUGGAGAAAUGCCAAACAACUGAAGCCAAAGUAGAGAUGUAACAGGUAUGUACAGUCUUUUUCUCUUGAAUUAAGGUCUUAUGCUAUGGAAUUUUGAACUAUAGCUUAGGAUCA